GAUGAACGCUGGCGGCGUGCCUAAUACAUGCAAGUCGAGCGAACAGACGAGGAGCUUGCUCCUCUGACGUUAGCGGCGGACGGGUGAGUAACACGUGGAUAACCUACCUAUAUGACUGGGAUAACUUCGUGAAACCGGAGCUAAUACCGGAUAAUAUAUUGAACCGCAUGGUUCAAUAGUGAAAGACGGUUUUGCUGUCACUUAUAGAUGGAUCCGCGCCGCAUUAGCUAGUUGGUAAGGUAACGGCUUACCAAGGCAACGAUGCGUAGCCGACCUGAGAGGGUGAUCGGCCACACUGGAACUGAGACACGGUCCAGACUCCUACGGGAGGCAGCAGUAGGGAAUCUUCCGCAAUGGGCGAAAGCCUGACGGAGCAACGCCGCGUGAGUGAUGAAGGUCUUCGGAUCGUAAAACUCUGUUAUUAGGGAAGAACAAAUGUGUAAGUAACUAUGCACGUCUUGACGGUACCUAAUCAGAAAGCCACGGCUAACUACGUG
Molecule: ribosomal RNA, 497 nt
Filed under: uncultured bacterium
Lineage: Bacteria
Description: partial 16S ribosomal RNA
Rfam family: Bacterial small subunit ribosomal RNA
Source: RNAcentral